UCUUCGGGAUCUUGAGAGCGGCGCACGGGUGCGGAACACGUGUGCAACCUGCCUUUAUCAGGGGAAUAGCCUUUCGAAAGGAAGAUUAAUGCCCCAUAAUAUAUCAUAUGGCAUCAUUUGAUAUUGAAAACUCCGGUGGAUAAAGAUGGGCACGCGCAGGAUUAGAUAGUUGGUAGGGUAACGGCCUACCAAGUCAGCGAUCCUUAGGGGGCCUGAGAGGGUGAUCCCCCACACUGGUACUGAGACACGGACCAGACUCAUACGGGAGGCAGCAGUGAGGAAUAUUGGACAAUGGGUGAGAGCCUGAUCCAGCCAUCCCGCGUGAAGGACGACGGCCCUAUGGGUUGUAAACUUCUUUUGUAUAGGGAUAAACCUACCCUCGUGAGGGUAGCUGAAGGUACUAUACGAAUAAGCACCGGCUAACUCCGUGCCAGCAGCCGCGGUAAUACGGAGGGUGCAAGCGUUAUCCGGAUUUAUUGGGUUUAAAGGGUCCGUAGGCUGAUGUGUAAGUCAGUGGUGAAAUCUCACAGCUUAACUGUGAAACUGCCAUUGAUACUGCAUGUCUUGAGUGUUGUUGAAGUAGCUGGAAUAAGUAGUGUAGCGGUGAAAUGCAUAGAUAUUACUUAGAACACCAAUUGCGAAGGCAGGUUACUAAGCAACAACUGACGCUGAUGGACGAAAGCGUGGGGAGCGAACAGGAUUAGAUACCCUGGUAGUCCACGCCGUAAACGAUGCUAACUCGUUUUUUGGGCUGUUCGGGUUCAGACACUAAGCCGAAAGUGAUAAGUUAGCCACCUGGGGAGUACGUUCGCCAAGAAUGAAACU
Molecule: ribosomal RNA, 825 nt
Filed under: Chryseobacterium sp. JY10
Lineage: Bacteria; Pseudomonadati; Bacteroidota; Flavobacteriia; Flavobacteriales; Weeksellaceae
Description: bacterial SSU rRNA
Rfam family: Bacterial small subunit ribosomal RNA
Source: RNAcentral